UACGGAGGGUGCAAGCGUUGUCCGGAAUCACUGGGCGUAAAGCGCGCGCAGGCGGCUGGAGAAGUCCAUGGGUGAAAGGCCGGGGCUCAACCCCGAGUGUGCCCAGGAUACUCUCUGGCUGGAGACACGUAGAGGCAAGCGGAAUUUCGGGUGUAGCGGUGGAAUGCGUAGAUAUCAGGAGGAACACCAAUGGCGAAGGCAGCUCGCUGGGACGGUACUGACGCUGAGACGCGAAAGCGUGGGGAGCAAACAGG
This 254-nucleotide ribosomal RNA is filed under the name uncultured bacterium. Its description in RNAcentral is "partial 16S ribosomal RNA". It matches the Rfam family "Bacterial small subunit ribosomal RNA", at positions 524 to 776 of the family's 1533-position model. The record is from RNAcentral.